GACAAACGCUGGCGGCGUACCUAAGACAUGCAAGUCGAACGGGUACGGACCCUUCGGGGUGGCGUGCUAGUGGCGGACGGGUGAGUAACGCGUAGGAACCUAUCGCACAGUGGGGGAGUACCACGGGGAAACCGGGUGUUAAUACCGCAUGUGGUCAGCAAUGACGAAAGCAGCAAUGCGCUGUGUGCGGGGCCGUGCGUCCGAUUAGCUCGUUGGUGGGGUAAGGGCCGUACCAAGGCGACGAUCGGAGCUGGUCUGAGAGGAUGGUCAGCCACACUGGGACUGAGACACGGCCC
RNAcentral lists this ribosomal RNA (296 nucleotides) under uncultured bacterium. RNAcentral's name for it is "partial 16S ribosomal RNA". It matches the Rfam family "Bacterial small subunit ribosomal RNA", at positions 28 to 332 of the family's 1533-position model. The record is from RNAcentral.